Carassius carassius (crucian carp) is the source of this 657-nucleotide long non-coding RNA. RefSeq lists it as uncharacterized. Lineage: Eukaryota; Metazoa; Chordata; Actinopteri; Cypriniformes; Cyprinidae. The transcript is spliced from 3 exons. The record is from RefSeq and is a predicted model, not a curated record.
AAUCGAUGACGUCACUUACAUGGGGAGUGUAAUCUGCUGAAAACAAGUUCAAACGUGUUUUGGUCUUUCGUGAUAAACAGAUAUUAAUACAAAUUGUUCUGUGAUUUCAGGAGGACAGAAAGAAACUCUACAGAACAGAAUUGAAGCUCCAAGAUUUCAACAUUUCCGAAGGGAGAUACUGACUUAGAAAUUCAGCUGGUUUCCUUCUGAUAAACCUGGAACUGCAGAGUAAAUAUUGUUGGCUCUGUGACAGGUUGCUUGUUUUGUUCCUAGACUCUUCAGUGAUGAUGAGCAGAGUUGGAGUGAACCUACUGUCAGACCGGUUGGGCCAAUAGACGAUGCCAUCAUCCAUCGUUGCUGGCUGAUAGACAUGAUGAUGUUGCGCCGGCAAACAGUGUCAUCAGCUCCAGUGUCUCACCCGUGCAUCCGUUGUCAUGCGACAGAGAAGUUACGUUCUAUAGACAGUUGUGAACGCACUAACAGCUGGUUGCCCAGGCUUUGGAUUAAAUGUUAUACUGUUGUAAGUAGUGUUCAUUUUCCUGUACAGACUGAACAUUUCGCUUCGUUAGACCUCAGUGUAUCACCAGGAGCCACCGGUAUUGAUUUUGUCUUGUUUUUAAAGUGGGAGUACAAUGGUGUUUCGUGUAUUCAGAGUUG